Non-coding RNA from Acanthosepion pharaonis, 98 nucleotides. NCBI's taxonomy places the organism in Eukaryota, Metazoa, Mollusca, Cephalopoda, Sepiida, Sepiidae. The record is from the annotation of a GenBank genome assembly.
ACGGCCACAUCACGCUGAAACACCAGUUUCCAUAUGAUCACUGAAGUUAAGCAACGUUGAGCCUGGACAUUACCUAGAUAGGUGAUGGUUUGGGAAAG